CUGAAAUGCUAGUCAGUGGUUUGGUUACUAUUAGGCAGGGCCUUGUGAAAUGCUUUGACCAACAGAAUGUGGUGGAAGUGAUAUUGUGAGACUUCUGAGACAAAGCUUCAGGAAGUCGUGCAGCUUUUUCUCUUCCCCUUUUCCUGCCCUGAGACCACCAUGACUGAAGGCUAAGAGCAGCUUACUUGAGGAUUAAAGAUCUCUUGGAGAGAGAAGUCCAGUGAGUAACAAUGGCCAGGUAUUUCAGGGAGACCAUCUUGGACCAUCCAGCCUCCACCAAGCCAACAGCUGACAGCUGCCACAUGAAUAUGAUCAGCAGAAGACCCACUCAGGCAAGCCAAGCCCAAAUUGCCAACCCCCGCAAAUAAUGAGCUAAUUAUUUUUUGUUUUAAGCCAUAAACUUUUGAAGUGGUUAUAUAGCAAUAGAUAACUGAAACAGGUGUUUAACUUUCCAGACUUUUAAAAUGACCAUAUUGAUAUAAUUGUAUUGUUCAACCUGUUUUGUAAAGUGAUUUCUCUGAAUAGUAUCUUGAAAAGAUUCCUUAUCCUUAACUAUUUUCUACAACUUUGCAUUUGUUUUAGUAUUAUAUUACAUGGAUAGUUGGUAAUUUGACUACUAACUUCCCUUUGAAAUUUCUUUUCCUUGCUGUCUAGCUCCCAUGUCUUGACCAACUUUACAUUCCCCUCCAGGACCUUAUGGGCACACGGGUUCCUGUCAUUUCACGGGAUAUAGUCGGCUGACUGAUGACCCUGCAAAAAGAUAUGUCCAUGUCCUAAUCUCUGGAAACUGUGAAUGUUACUUAAUUUGGAAAGGGGGUCUUUGCAGAUGAAAUUAAGAAUUUUGAGAUGAGUAGUUCAUCCUGGAUUGUCUGCGUGGGUCCUAAAUCCAGUGACAAGCAUCCUUAAAAGAGACACAAGGAGAUUGGCAGACAGAAGAAGAGGAGGCAGCAAUGUGACCCUGGAGGUGGAUCCACAGGUCAAGGAAUGGCUACAGCCAUCAGAGAAAGAGGCAAAGUGAGGAUUCUCCCCUCGAAUCUCUAGGAGUGGUCCAGCCCUGCUGAUGUCUAGAUUUUUGGAGUUUUGGCCUCCAGAAUGUGACAGAGUAAACUAUUGUUUAAAGCCACCAAGUUUGCGGUGACUUGUUAGAGCAGCCACAGGAAUGAAUGUACGGGGAAUCGGGCAGUCUCAUAUACUGCUGGUGGGAAAACAAACUGGCACAACCCUUAUGGUGGGAAAUUUGACAACAUGUACAUAAACUACCUACAUGUUUCCCUUGUGGCCCAGCCAUUCCACUUUUAGGAAUCUGCCCUGAAGAUACAACUCCACCUAUUAAAAAAUACAGCCAUUAGAAUGGAUGAUGUUUACCACUUGUUGACAAAGAAAAAUGUUCACUUGUGUUAAAUGAGAAAGAUAGGUUUCAGAACAGCAACAAUGUUCUAGCUGAUUCUGUUUUUAAAACUCAGUGUAUGUAGAGAAGGACAGUAAAGGGAUUUAUCAUGAAAUGCAAAAAGGGGGCAACUGUUAUUUUAGAUUUCUUUAUUAAAAUUUUUAAUUGACAAUUGUAUAUAUUUGUACAGUAAUUGUACGUAUUGUAUGUACAAUUGUAUAUUGAUGUAUAUAUUUGUACAAUAAUUGUAUAUAUAUUUAUAUGGUACAAUGUGGUAUUUCUAUGCAUGAACACAUGAUGGAAUGAUCAAA
This is a non-coding RNA of Macaca mulatta (Rhesus monkey), 1698 nucleotides long. Lineage: Eukaryota; Metazoa; Chordata; Mammalia; Primates; Cercopithecidae. The record is from RefSeq and is a predicted model, not a curated record.